Molecule: long non-coding RNA, 1014 nt
Filed under: Piliocolobus tephrosceles (Ugandan red Colobus)
Lineage: Eukaryota; Metazoa; Chordata; Mammalia; Primates; Cercopithecidae
Description: lncRNA (ENSPTEG00000039225.1)
Source: RNAcentral
AUGUGCAGAGGCCACCGACAGCUGCGCCUGAGUGAGGGUGCGUGUGUGUGUCUCCAGGUCUGUCCGUGCAGGUCAAUGUUGUCUCGUGUGUUGGGAAGAUGGGUGCCCCCACUUCUGUGUGUUGAGGGGGGUGGCGCUGUGUGUCACUGUCUGCCCAUUUCAGAGUUGCCAGUUGUUUCUGUGUGUGUGGGUGUCUGUAUUGCAGGGCUGUGGCAGUAUGUGAUGCUGUCACUGGUUGUAUCUGAGUGUGUCAGUGUCGUGCAGCUAUGUGCAUCGUUGUCGUCGUGUGUCUGUCAGUGUCUGUGGGUCUGGCCAUCCGUCGCAACCCCUCAGCCCAGCCAGGGGCUUCAGGAGCUGCUGGGGGUGAUCCCCAGUGGUCCGCUGUGGUCCUUUAUCUCCGGCUCUGUUCUCCGCUGCUGCUCUCUCGCUUGCUGGGUGACUGGGCUGGUCCUAAGGAGGUCUGGGUCGAUGGGCUGCUUGCCUCAUAGUCUCAGCCCCUGCUGGCCUCAGCUCUGGGGACUGCAGGGGUCCCUUACAGUCCGGGAGCCUCGAGAUGGUGGGCUCCGAGGAGGGCUGAGCCUCAGAAUUGGGGGGAGCGAGCCGGGGAGAACCAGCCUUCCCCUCCUCCUCCUUCUCCCCUCCCACCCACCAAUAGGAAGUCGGCUGUUGGUUUCCAUGGUGAUGGCGCUGGACUGGUGGGCUGAACCGGCUGACAGGGUCGGGGGACAGAAGGAAGAGCAGGUUUCUCACGGGAUGUCAGCCCAGGGCUCCCACAUGUGGCCUCCCACCCUCAUCUUCACACAUUUUCACACCUUCCGGAGUACAGAGGCGAGCGGGGUGCAGAUGGUCCUCCCCACAUCGGGUGAGACUGAUAGAGACGGAACGGGGGAGGGUAUGAUAGAGAUCCAGCCACAGAGAAGGGCAGAACUAGAAAAGAUGGGACUUGAGAUGAAACAAAGAGAGAGAGAGAAACCAAGAGAAAGAAACCAGGAAGACAAGCAAAGAGACAGGUAG